AUUGAACGCUGGCGGAAUGCUUUACACAUGCAAGUCGAACGGAUUUUAAAGAGCUUGCUCUUUAAAGUUAGUGGCGAACGGGUGAGUAAUAUAUAGGAACGUACCCAGUAGAGGGGGAUAACGACUCGAAAGAGUUGCUAAUACCGCAUACGCCCUGAGGGGGAAAGUGGGGGACCGCAAGGCCUCACACUAUUGGAGCGGCCUAUAUCUGAUUAGCUAGUUGGUAGGGUAAAGGCCUACCAAGGCGACGAUCAGUAGCUGGUUUGAGAGAAAGAUCAGCCACACUGGGACUGAGACACGGCCCAGACUCCUACGGGAGGCAGCAGUGGGGAAUUUUGGACAAUGGGCGAAAGCCUGAUCCAGCCAUUCCGCGUGAGUGAAGAAGGCCUUCGGGUUGUAAAGCUCUUUAGUCAGGGAGCAAAUCCUACGUGUAAAUAAUGCGUGGGGAUGAGAGUACCUGAAGAAUAAGCACCGGCUAACUACGUGCCAGCCGCCGCGGUAA
This 502-nucleotide ribosomal RNA is filed under the name uncultured bacterium. Its description in RNAcentral is "partial 16S ribosomal RNA". It matches the Rfam family "Bacterial small subunit ribosomal RNA", at positions 30 to 523 of the family's 1533-position model. The record is from RNAcentral.